RNAcentral lists this transfer RNA (69 nucleotides) under Snellenius sp. SNS-2016. RNAcentral's name for it is "tRNA-Asn". The record is from RNAcentral. Lineage: Eukaryota; Metazoa; Arthropoda; Insecta; Hymenoptera; Braconidae.
UUAAUUGAAACCAAAAAUAGAGGUUAAUUAUUGUUAAUAAUUUUAUUGAAUUUAAAAAUUCCAAUUAAU